Molecule: ribosomal RNA, 427 nt
Filed under: uncultured bacterium
Lineage: Bacteria
Description: partial 16S ribosomal RNA
Rfam family: Bacterial small subunit ribosomal RNA
Source: RNAcentral
UGGGGAAUAUUGCACAAUGGGCGCAAGCCUGAUGCAGCCAUGCCGCGUGUGUGAAGAAGGCCUUCGGGUUGUAAAGCACUUUCAGCGAGGAGGAAGGGUGGUGUGUUAAUAGCACAUUGCAUUGACGUUACUCGCAGAAGAAGCACCGGCUAACUCCGUGCCAGCAGCCGCGGUAAUACGGAGGGUGCAAGCGUUAAUCGGACUUACUGGGCGUAAAGCGCACGCAGGCGGGUUGUUAAGUCAGAUGUGAAAUCCCCGCGCUUAACGUGGGAACUGCAUUUGAAACUGGCAAGCUAGAGUCUUGUAGAGGGGGGUAGAAUUCCAGGUGUAGCGGUGAAAUGCGUAGAGAUCUGGAGGAAUACCGGUGGCGAAGGCGGCCCCCUGGACAAAGACUGACGCUCAGGUGCGAAAGCGUGGGGAGCAAACA